AGAGUUUGAUCCUGGCUCAGAACGAACGCUGGCGGCAGGCUUAACACAUGCAAGUCGAACGCUCGUAGCAAUACGGGAGUGGCGGACGGGUGAGUAACGCGUGGGAACGUGCCCUGAGGUACGGAAUAACUGAGGGAAACUUCAGCUAAUACCGUAUGAGCCCCGAGAGGGGGAAAGACUUAUCGCCUUGGGAGCGGCCCGCGUCGGAUUAGCUAGUUGGUGGGGUAACGGCCUACCAAGGCUUCGAUCCGUAGCUGGUCUGAGAGGACGAUCAGCCACACUGGGACUGAGACACGGCCCAGACUCCUACGGGAGGCAGCAGUGGGGAAUCUUGCGCAAUGGGGGCAACCCUGACGCAGCCAUGCCGCGUGAACGAUGAAGGCCUUAGGGUUGUAAAGUUCUUUUACCCGUGACGAUGAUGACGGUAACGGGGGAAUAAGCUCCGGCUAACUUCGUG
Molecule: ribosomal RNA, 457 nt
Filed under: uncultured bacterium
Lineage: Bacteria
Description: bacterial SSU rRNA
Rfam family: Bacterial small subunit ribosomal RNA
Source: RNAcentral